GACGAACGCUGGCGGCGUGCCUAAUACAUGCAAGUAGAACGCUGAAGGAGGAGCUUGCUUCUCUGGAUGAGUUGCGAACGGGUGAGUAACGCGUAGGUAACCUGCCUGGUAGCGGGGGAUAACUAUUGGAAACGAUAGCUAAUACCGCAUAAGAGUAGAUGUUGCAUGACAUUUUCUUAAAAGGUGCAAUUGCAUCACUACCAGAUGGACCUGCGUUGUAUUAGCUAGUUGGUGGGGUAACGGCUCACCAAGGCGACGAUACAUAGCCGACCUGGGAGGGUGAUCGGCCCAACUGGGACUGAGACACGGCCCAGACUCCUACGGGAGGCAGCCGUAGGGAAUCUUUGGAAAUGGACGGAAGUCUGACCGAGCAAAGCCGCGGGAGUGAAGAAGGGUUUCGGGACGUAAAGCUCUGUUGUAAGAGAAGAACGAGUGUGAGAGUGGAAAGUUCACACUGUGACGGUAUCUUACCAGAAAGGGACGGCUAACUACGUG
RNAcentral lists this ribosomal RNA (495 nucleotides) under uncultured bacterium. RNAcentral describes it as "partial 16S ribosomal RNA". It matches the Rfam family "Bacterial small subunit ribosomal RNA", at positions 28 to 507 of the family's 1533-position model. The record is from RNAcentral.